GUAGGCGGCUGCCCUGCGGACCGAGCAGUAACGACUGAGGCUUCCAGAAGUUCCCGUUACGCCGCGAGUAACGGUCGCUCCGAAUUCCGAACCUUCGCCCUAGGGAAGAUGAGACGGUCGCCAGUUUCUCAGGCUCUUCGUCCGGGGCCUCGACAUUCCCUUACCUGCUUCCCCUAAGGAGAGUGACGAGCUAGGCCUGCUCUCCGCCCUUCUCUUUGGGGCUCUCUACGAGCCUCUGUAUACUGUCCAGGUGACAGGGGUGACAAGAGAGACAGUGCUUACUUAUUAUUGUUGUUGUUGAGAGACAUUACUCAUUUAUUAUUGUUGUUGUUACCAUUAUUAUUAUUUGAAAUCUCCUCUGCCCUAGAAUUGAGCUUCUUGAGAGUAAGAACUCCGGUUCGUCGUCGUCACCCACCGCUUACCGCAGUGCCGAGGGUUCGCCAGGCGCUAGCAGUUUGCUGAAGAGAGUGGGUGUUUAUAGUGAAAAGAGAAGUGAGUUGGAAAUUAGAAAACCUGGCUUCGCGCGCCUCCCUCGCCAUCUGCCGCCUGGCGCGGCGCCUCUUGAGGUCUCCCCGCCUAGGCCGAGGCUCUGCUCGCCGUUCUGGAAGGUGUUGAGAAGAGUGUAGCGGUAAGAGGAUAGUGUCUGGACCUAAACCCCUUGUGAGCCGUGAAGGUUGUCUGGCUCAUCUCUCCCUAUGACUUCGAAUUUUCUCAAGCUGGGUGUGGUCUGCAUCUUUCGCGUUCCCUCCUCUAACCCCUCCAUGGUCAGAAGAGACAGUGCAAGCUACAGUGUGUACACUGAAGGUGAUGUUCUCUCUUCUCAAUAGUUCCUAAAAGGAGGGAUUUCAGUUAUGAAAGGUGAAGAGAAAGCCUGAGGAUACCUAGCAUCUUAAAUCAAGUCCUCUGUAACCAGGAUAUAGUUCAACAUUUUCCUGAGACACCAUUUCUCUCUACAUAGGACCUGACUUGAUAUUUGAGAAAAGCUCAACUAUGGAAUGAAAAAGCAGGAAUGAAUGGCCUCCAAAUCUUAAUUUUUUUGUCAGUUGCUACUCCUCUUGAUUGAGGGAUACUAGCCUUUGCAUAGCUGUUGUGAAAGAGGAGAUGACCAGAAGAAAUUCACCUUCCGGUGGCAGCUGCCACCAACACACAGAAGCACUCACUCAAGAUGGCUUAAAGGAGACAGUGACUCAAUGUACGACUAGAAAAUUGAGCAA
This is a long non-coding RNA of Delphinapterus leucas (beluga whale), 1214 nucleotides long. RefSeq lists it as uncharacterized. The record is from RefSeq and is a predicted model, not a curated record. NCBI's taxonomy places the organism in Eukaryota, Metazoa, Chordata, Mammalia, Artiodactyla, Monodontidae.